AAGUCGUAACAAGGUUUCCGUAGGUGAACCUGCGGAAGGAUCAUUAACGAAUCGUGAGGACUUGGCUGUCGCUGGCUCCCCUCUGGGGAGCAUGUGCACGCCCGGUCCAAACCUUUCAACUUUAACCUCCUGUGCACUCUUGUGGAUCGUGGGUCCUGGACAAACUCUUUGUCUCAAAGUAACAUUUGGUCUUGAGGGAUAGGAAUUCUUUUCGGGGGGUUCCUUUCCUCUGCGUCCGCCUGCGGUUCAUGUCUUUAUUACAAACUGUACUUUACAAUCUUAGAAUGGCUUUAACGAGUCGGUUCACUUUUGUGUGAACCUCUCUUAAACUUUUAUACAACUUUCAACAACGGAUCUCUUGGCUCUC
This 367-nucleotide unclassified non-coding RNA is filed under the name fungal sp. RNAcentral describes it as "partial internal transcribed spacer region". The stretch from base 1 to 46 matches the Rfam family "Eukaryotic small subunit ribosomal RNA", at positions 1786 to 1831 of the family's 1831-position model. The record is from RNAcentral. Lineage: Eukaryota; Fungi. RNAcentral also lists the same sequence under 1 other name.